CAGUAGCCGCGGUAAUACGUAGGGUGCGAGCGUUAAUCGGAAUUACUGGGCGUAAAGCGUGCGCAGGCGGUUAUAUAAGACAGAUGUGAAAUCCCCGGGCUCAACCUGGGACCUGCAUUUGUGACUGUAUAGCUAGAGUACGGUAGAGGGGGAUGGAAUUCCGCGUGUAGCAGUGAAAUGCGUAGAUAUGCGGAGGAACACCGAUGGCGAAGGCAAUCCCCUGGACCUGUACUGACGCUCAUGCACGAAAGCGUGGGGAGCAGACAGGAUUAGAUACCCCCGUAGUCCCUGUCUCUUAUAC
This 301-nucleotide ribosomal RNA is filed under the name uncultured bacterium. RNAcentral describes it as "partial 16S ribosomal RNA". It matches the Rfam family "Bacterial small subunit ribosomal RNA", at positions 509 to 807 of the family's 1533-position model. The record is from RNAcentral.